Molecule: non-coding RNA, 31 nt
Filed under: Rattus norvegicus (Norway rat)
Lineage: Eukaryota; Metazoa; Chordata; Mammalia; Rodentia; Muridae
Source: RNAcentral
UACAGAUGGUAGUGGAAGUCAUGCUACACGC